RNAcentral lists this ribosomal RNA (253 nucleotides) under uncultured bacterium. RNAcentral describes it as "partial 16S ribosomal RNA". It matches the Rfam family "Bacterial small subunit ribosomal RNA", at positions 524 to 776 of the family's 1533-position model. The record is from RNAcentral.
GACGGGGGAUGCAAGCGUUAUCCGGAAUCACUGGGCGUAAAGCGUCUGUAGGCGGUGAUGCAAGUCACUGGUGCAAAACUCUGGCUCAACCGGAGGAAAGCCAGUGAAACUGCAUGACUAGAGUGUGGGAGAGGUAGAAGGAAUUCCCUGAGUAGCGGUGAAAUGCGUAGAUACAGGGAAGAACACCGGAGGCGAAAGCGUUCUACUGGAACACAACUGACACUGAGAGACAAAAGCUAGGGGAGCUAAUGGG